This 261-nucleotide unclassified non-coding RNA is filed under the name Hevea brasiliensis (rubber tree). The record is from RNAcentral. Lineage: Eukaryota; Viridiplantae; Streptophyta; Magnoliopsida; Malpighiales; Euphorbiaceae.
CAGAAAUAUACACAGCCAGUAACCAAAUAUAUGCUCAAAAGUCGUUUGGGUAAAAUGCAAGAAUACUACACAUCCACACUUCUGCUUUGCAAAAGUGGGGCUUUAGUAGAGCAUGACGCAAAGUUAGAAUUUCCUUUCUCUUCAACCAUUUUUUCUUCUUCUUGGGCUUUUCCCCAUAUCACUGUAUAAAAUCCAAGGGCAAUAAUAAUCCCUCCAAUGACACUUCCAAUAUAAAGAGUAUCCCCAAGAAAAGAAACACCC